Molecule: long non-coding RNA, 3894 nt
Organism: Oxyura jamaicensis (ruddy duck)
Lineage: Eukaryota; Metazoa; Chordata; Aves; Anseriformes; Anatidae
Exons: 3
Source: RefSeq, a predicted model, not a curated record
ACGACCAAAGCCCAAAGCUGAUGUCUAGGAGGCGGUAUCUUUAUUCAAACCCUGCACCUCCUGUAGAUUUCUCCCAGGCUCAAAAACCCCGUCCUCCACACCUGCUUCCCAUGGGCUGUGUGCUGUGGUACAGCUGUGAAAGGCCUUCCUCCUUCUGCACCUGAAUCAGCCAGUCUCCAACUCCUUCUGUCAUCCUGGCACUCUGAAACAGAGCUCAGCUCUUUCCCUGUUAGCCAAGAGCCCUUUAAUUUCUAAGGCAUCAUGAUUUGCCUUGUUUUAGGAGGGUGGGUACGCUCAGCUUUCCUUUUCCAGCAGCUUAAGAGGAGUUAGAUCUAGCCCUUUCCACAGGACUUUAAGGGCUAUAUUGCAUCAGAUGGCUGUUUAUUUUUUGGUAGCUUCAGUGAACUGCUGCAGCUAUAGAAAUUGUGUGGGCACAUUUAGAUACAUGACUUAAAUUUUCUGCCAUCUCCUUUUCCUAGUGGGAAGGAGUUAGCACCUUGUUAGGUGCAACAUCACCAGCCUCUCCUGAGCUGAGCAAUCCCUUCUCUCUAAUAAUGAUUAGAUCAAGCCUAAACCAAAAUACUUCACUCGCAGCAAAUGUGGAUGUCUGGGGUUUUCCUUCAGCACUUUUACGAGUAACAGGCGUGUAUCCUUUGCUGUGCUCCACAGGUUCCCCUUCAGCUCAUUGCUGCCCCAUAAAUGCAAGCCUGCACAUAAAUGCCUGGGUCCACAAAAGGAGAUGAACCACAAAAGCAGGCAGCUCGCUCCUUUCCCUGGCAGUAGCCUCUAACCAGCACGUCUCUGAGGCUUUGCUUUAUGUAUUUAUUUUCAGCACAUGAGGUGCAAAUGAAAGGCAAACAAUAUGGGUCAGGUGUGAUGGUCUUGGAUAAUUAACAGCUGGAAAUAAUUACCUGCUACCAGGAAGAAGGAUGAUGGAUGGAGCCGAGGAACAGCUGCGUGGCAUCUUCAGCUGGCUGCUGUACAGGGAGGGAUGAGAAAUACCCGCAGAAAUUGCCUGAAGGGGCUGGGGCAAAGCACGCAGCAGCCAGUGCUGGUAGCAAGUCACACUGCAGUGCCCUACAGGAACUCUUCCAGGGACAUUUCUUAUUGUGAGACCCUUGCGUUUCCUUCUGGAAAAUCUAAUAUUAGCCCUGGCUUCCCACAAGACAGAUAUUUUCCUAGUGGGCUGUGGGAAGUUGCUGCUUUGCUCCUUCCAGCCCGGGACUGUGAGCAGAGGUGCCGUGCUGCCUCGCAGCACAGUAUGAAGCAGGAACAAAGCCUCGUGAAGAGAAAUGUGUGCUCCUGGCAGCAGGAUGCAGCCAGCCCCAGUCCUUGCCUGGGAUCAGAGAGAGGGGCCGUGUGGUGCUGUGCCCGGGGGACAGGCUGCUGUGGAGAGCCUGUGCUCUGACAGUGCUCAAGCAGCAUCUCUUGUGGGCUGAGAUAUGGCUGGGAGGCUCCCCAUAGCUGCCAACUUCUCCCCAUCACUGUUUCCUACAGCUGGGGCCUGGGGGGAUUGCCUCCACCAAAAUGCACAAGAGCCUCCUCCACAGCCAGGAGGCCAGCGAGGAGCCCAGGAAACUAUUCCCCUUAAAUAGUUAAACGGCUGCCUCUCAACUAACACAAUGUCACAUUGAAUUUGAAACAGGGAACUUUUUAUAUUUUCCCCCUGAUUGUGCUGGCACCUGGCAGAUGCCUAUUUACCACAGGCAUCAAUACACAUAGUAAUCAAAGGAAAUCAGAGGCACAGAUUAGCAACAGCUGCAAGUCAUUAGUGGCAGCCAUGGGAAAGCACAGCUCUGCACCCAACUUCGAAAUAACCAAUAUGAGUAUUUCAGAGCACGAGGGUUACCGCAGGGCACUCGGCGAGCACGAGAGAAAGCAAACAAUUGCUUCGCUUGUCUCUCAAGAUGGCUUCUUCCCUUCCUGAAGGCAGUACCGCGCGCUCGGCGUUAUCGAUGAGCCUGUUGCGUGUUGCCGGUCAGUUGAAUGUUAACUCUUUGGGAGGCCGAUUUUUUGCAGAUCAAAAAUGGCCAGAAAUAUGGGAAACAGAGUCUCUACCUUUACAAAUUUCCAGGGAUUUUUCAUUUUCUCUUAACUGUUUGCCGGUGUCUUUGGUGUAGUCUGUAAACAGGGGAGAGGUUGGGAUCUCUGAGAGUUAAUGGUCAUCUUACAGUAAGUUUUAUUUGGGGGGUGGUGCAGAGCAGUGGACCAGAAGCCUUAUUUGUAUAUCUGAUUCCUUUAAUCAUUUCAUUUUGAACCAGAAUAGAGACCACAUCUUAUUUAAAAACUCGAUGUUGAUUGAAAUUUCCAUUGCAGAUUUAGGCAGCUUGGAUUUCUAUUUUGAUCAGCCUCCGGAAAAGCCGAUUUUACUUCAAAGCAUCUCCGAGUCUUGCAGGCGCAGGAAGUUGCUGCCCUAUUAAUAGAGAAAGCAGAAUCCAGCAUCGUCGUCGUACGGAUGCUCUCCGGCAGUACUGACGUGCCGCGUCCUCCCUUGCUCGGUGGAGCCAUCACCACUGCAGGAGCAGCACCCAGGCUGCGUACGUGGUGUUGUGGUCCAUAGUGAGCUCUGCCUGCCUGCCUUGCCCCUGCCACAUGGGAUGCUCGUCCCAGCCUUGUGCUUGCCCAGCUGUUGGCCAUUGCCCAAGGGGGUGGGAGCAUGCGAUGGGCUUGGUGGUGAUAGGAUGGACAAACACCGAUCUGUGGCACUUCAAAGUACUCCUUGAGCUUCUUCUGCCUCUUCUCAGAGAGGGGAAUAAGAGAGAAGAGUUUGGGAGCAAGGGGAGUAGUCACAGAGGCACAUGGUGGUCUCAGGGUUGCAGAAAAGAUGGGCAGGGAUCUCUGGUUGGAACAAUCAGAGAGAAGAGAAAAAGACUUUGCCAGAAACACCGUUUCCCACAGUAAGCCUGUUCCUCUUGGUCCCUGGGUCUUAUUCCAGCCCCCAAACCUUCAGUUAAUCUAAGCUCCACCAGCAAAUCAGAAUCACAGAAUGGUUGAUGUAGAAAGGGACCUCUGGAGGUCACCUGCUCCAAGCCAGGCUACCAGGCAAGGCUACCCAGAGCAGGUUGCCCAGGACCUUGUCUCCAACCAGAGACGUGGAUCUUAUUUCUAUUAGCAGUCCCAAAACCUCACUCAUUAGUCCCAGAUUCCCCCAAACUCCUUCCUAUUAUGUUUUCUCUACUGUUAUUGGAAAAGUUGAAUUUGUUUUCCCCAGGGAUAACAGAAAAUAUUUAUGGAAAGACAAAAGUGAAAUUUAACCUUCUUUCCCAAGGCCUCUAGAGCUGGCUCUGUAAGAAAUACGGAAAGUGCAAACAGAGUAUUUAAGGUGACAAAGGAAAAUAUGGUUUUAAAGUAAAAUAUAAGUAAAUAGUCUCAAAAGAUAAAGCACGCUGAGUGCUCACAUCUCUUAGUGCUAAGAUGAAAGCAAGGAGAAAAUAGUGGUGGAAGGAUGUUAGUUCUGCCGCUCCCUCACCACCACAGCUGUUUCAUUUGUAAACAAAUGAUUUUAGGAUUAUGAAAGCCUGUAGUGAGCAAGACAGGUAUUUGUGAUGGGAGUUUUGCUCUUACUGGCUGUAUGAAGUAGGAUGGCUUUGGAAAUGACUAGGAGAAGUGGAAGUUUUGGGGAAAAUUCCUAGGGUUUCUUCUGCAUCCCGUUCUAACCAGAUGCGUCAGUCCAGCCAAAUGAAGGGUGAUGAUCUGAGGACAGUAGGUGACAACCUGUACCUAUAAAACAAGUUUUGAAUUUUGAAGUCCUUUAUCUGAGUCUGCACCAAUGAGUGUGCAAAAGAGUAGUGCAUGCAGGUUUGAUAAGCUUUAGAAGGAACCUGAGAACUGGAUUAGUGCCAAGAGAUUUUGGUCAGUUCCUCAAUAAUUAAGAGCUGAAGUUUAUCGCUGCAA